RNAcentral lists this ribosomal RNA (1986 nucleotides) under Triticum aestivum (bread wheat). RNAcentral's name for it is "partial small subunit ribosomal RNA". The record is from RNAcentral. Lineage: Eukaryota; Viridiplantae; Streptophyta; Magnoliopsida; Poales; Poaceae.
AUGUGGAUGGCACUGACGACCAUGCUGCUACUCCUUGCGGUAGGAGCAGCAGCGGCAGCUACCAGCACGACGACAACUCGUGGGUGUCGGCCGAGCUGCGGUGGCGUGGACAUCCCCUACCCUUUCGGCAUCGGCAUUGGUUGCUUCCACAAGGGGUUCGAGAUCGACUGCACCAUGGACGGCCCAGUGCUCGCCGGCUCGUCCCUUCGGGUAAAGCACCUGUCGAUCCAUCCAGACGUGUCGCUGGUGAUGCUCCCCAUUGGAUGGAAGUGCUACAACGCCUCCAGCACAACUGAAGCGGUGGACUCCAGCUACGGGGAGACGACGAUGAACAAGGAUGGCGUGUACCGCAUCUCCAACACACACAACAUGCUCGUCGUCAUCGGCUGCGACACCAUGGGCUACACCGCAAGCAUGAAAACCGACGGUGGCUUGGCCUCUCACGCCUACUACACCGGGUGCAUGUCCUACUGCAACAACUCGGCCAGCGUGCAGGACGGUCUCUGUGCCGGCGUCGGCUGCUGCCACGUCGACAUCCCGCCGGGGCUCACCCACAACUACUUCAAGUUCAACGCCUACGGCCACUCCAGCAUGAUGGACUACAGCCCCUGCGACUACGCCUUCCUUGUCGACAGGAACAACUACACCUUCCGCCGGUCCGACCUCAAGAUGGACACAAACCGGACUUCGCCGGUGUGGCUGGACUGGGCCAUUCGCGGCAACGGCUCCAUCUCCGGCGAUAUAUUGUCGUGCAACCAAGCUGCCAGGACCAGUGAGUACGCCUGUGUCAGUGAUCACAGCGACUGCCUCGACUCCACCAAUGGGCCUGGCUACAACUGCAGGUGCUCUGAAGGCUAUCGGGGCGACGCUUACAUUGUGGACGGAUGCACCAAUAUAGAUGAAUGCGCGAAUCCGGCCGACUACCAUUGCUACGGUGUAUGCACGGACACCCAAGGAUCAUACGUAUGCGAAUGUCCUGCUGGUUAUCGGAGCCAUGACCCAAGAAAGGAACUAUGUACUCAAAAGUUCCCACUUGCAGCACAGAUUUCCAUAAGUGCAAUAAGUGGCAUUCUCGUCUUGGCACUCUUGUCAUUCAUUUAUGUACUUCACAAAGAGAGGCGGGAGGCCAGGGACUUUUUCCGAAAGAAUGGUGGUCUUACAUUAAAGGAUGCUACAAGUAUUAAGAUUUUCAAAAUGGAGGAGCUCAAACCAAUUCUAAAGAAACACAAUUUAAUUGGUAAAGGUGCCUUUGGUGAAGUUUACAAGGGUGAUGUUGAUGGAGUUCUAGUCGCAAUAAAGAAACCAAUUGGUGAUAAUGUGUUAGAGAACAACCAAUUUCCAAAUGAAGUCAUUAUCCAGUCUCAAGUCAUCGAUAAGAACAUUGUAAGGCUUAGAGGUUGUUGCCUAGAAGUGGAUACCCCCAUGCUAGUGUACGAAUUCAUCUCCAAUGGAAGCUUGGAAGACAUUCUUCACAAGCAUAAAAGCAAGCUUCUCAACUUGGAUGUACGUCUAAGUAUUCUUCAAGAACCAGCACAUGGUCUAUCAUAUAUGCACUCACAAACCCACACCACAAUCUUGCAUGGUGAUGUUAAACCAGCAAACAUUCUCUUGGAUGAAUAUUUUACGCCGAAGAUCUCAGAUUUUGGCAUAUCAAGGUUGACUGCAAAAGGCAAGGAACAAACUGCAAACAUCAUAGGUGAUAUGACUUAUAUGGAUCUAGUUUACCUAAAGACAGGCCGAUUGACCAACAGAAGUGAUGUCUAUAGUUUUGGGGUUGUCAUCCUAGAACUCAUUAGCAGGAAGAAGGCCACUCACUCUGACAAUAAUAGCUUAGUGGGCAGCUUCCAAGAGUGUCAUCAAAGAGAGGGGACAUCGCUGAAGUUGUUUGAUCCAGAAAUUGCAACAGCAGGCAAUUUCGAAAUUCUUGACAAGCUAGCACAGAUUGCUAUGGAGUGUCUUAAUCUUGAUGUCAUUCGGAGGAGAUGA